AAAAAAUGAAAAACCCAUUAAACCAAAACAAAGCAAAAAGCCAUACCUGAAACAGAAAAAUCUCUGCUUCUUAUCUCCUGCUCUCCACCACCUCUUUAUCCUUCCUGAUGGCAUUGGAGGCUUCUGUGUGCCAUAUAUUAUAUCCCCUUCUCAGAUCAGCUUGACUGGCAACUGUCCAUUGCAACGAGUCAUUGGUCUGGUUCAAGUCCUCUGGUUAUUGGUACAUCAUCCUCACUGGAUCUUGACCUGAGCUCUUUUGGAGUAUCCUGUGUCUUGGAGAUCUUGUGGGUAUUCUUCUGCUGGACCAAUCCCUUCGGUGCUCCAGCAGGAUCUAGAUAUUAGGGUGGGUCAACCCAGGCCUGGGUGUUAGCCAGUUAGGUCAGAUCAAGCUACUGGGACCACCCACCUCAUUUGCAGUGGUGGAAUCAGCUCCCUUACUUGCAUGCCAGCAGGGUAGGUUCAUUCUCUCCUGUGGUGAAGGGUGGGGGCCCUCUCUGCUGAGUGCAGGGGCCAACUCUCUUGCCAUAAUGGACAGCAAGAGGUAAGGCCAGGUUUCUCAGGGUAGUGAAGGGCAGGACUGGCUCAAUACAGCCCAUUGAUUUCAUCUAGAAUGAUUCCUAAGGCCUCCUGAGGUGACACGGGACACAGACAUCAAAACAGACCCCAGUUACUUCUGGACCAUGGACACAUACAUGUAAACAUGUCAGAUUAUGAAAUCUGCUUAGAUGGCUUUUUGCCAUUACCACCUGCAAUGAGAACAUAGUCUCUACUUUUUAGGAUAUCUGUUAAUAAAAUUCUGAAUAUGACUGUAACUUGCAAAAUAAAACCAAUUUAAAAAGGAAAUACAAAGCUGAUUCCUCCUAGUCCACAUAGACUCUUACAGGGCUCUUUGACACGCAUGAAAUAAAAAACAGAUGAAGAAAUGAGUAUGUUCUACAUGUACACUAAACUCUUAUGUAAGUACAAUCUCUCUUUGUGAGUUUCUUUUCAAAGUGUCUCAAGGAUAAGGAUAACUCUCCAAGAUAACCAAAACACUGAUGAAUACACUGAUGUUUCAGCAAGUGCUUAAUUAAUUGGAAUAAUCAUAAAGAUGAAGAGAAAAAUAUCCUACUGACCCCAAGCCUUUGGAUCCCUGUAUACAGACUGCAUGUUCUAACUUUUGAUAUCACCACAAACAUUUCAUGCAGGAAAACAAAGUAGAAAUGAAGAGGUAGAGCCCAGAAGUGGCAUAUGUCUGUCAUCCCAGCACUUUGGAGGUGGGUGGAAGCAACAGAACCAGAAAUUGAAGGCCAUUCCACAUAGUGUGUUUGAGGCCAGCUUGAGCUACACAGGACCUUGUUUCCAAAAACACACAAAAAAAGUCAUCUUUAUGAGCAUGACACAUUCAGUGACUGAGGAGACAAGGGUGUUGGAUCCCCUGAAACUGGAGUUGCAGGCAGUGGACCACCAUCUGGGUACUAGGAACCAAAACCAGGUUCUCAACAUCUCUGAAGCUCCCACUAAUGUAUUUUCAAUGGCAGAAGAAAUCUCCCUGAGCCCUUUCCCUACAGAGUCAGCAGAGGAGGAGAAACUAACUGCAAGCCUCAGGCUUUCUGGCACAGCUACACCAACACUCAGGCCAGUAAGGAGAAACUGGAUGUGUCCUGCAUAAAACACGGUGUAAUCUCCGGCUCAUUUGUGGUCCUAUUCCUGGAAAUCCCUACUACAGAGUUUGACAUUAAAGAGACAAAAAUAAGGAUAGCCACAAACCAACUGCACUUGCCUUGCCAACCAACAAGAUAACACAAGCAACAGCACAAUGAGGCUGAGUAAGAGUUAAAGCUAAAGGAAGUCAUCAGCAUCUCCCAGGGCCUUCCUUCCUGUGCUACCUGGAUGGCAAGAUACUGACAACCUAAAGCUUCACCACUGUCCAGUGAGGAUACUCGAUCCAUUUGCAGAUGGUGCCCAAGGAUCAUCAGCUUCUCAACGGACAGCAAAUUACUGAACUGAUCUGUUCCAUAUGACCACCAGCUGUGAGGUGCCUGCAGCAGUUCUCCCCUGCCAGCCUGGCUGCUCUGUGUCCUUUCCUCCCCGUGGAUGCACUGUGGAGCUCCCAUCUUUGAUGCUGCCUGAUAGACCAAAUGUGCCAUGGUCCCAACAAUGAUGACAUCUCCAGCUAGGGCAGCAGUUCUCCUUCUACCAGCUGGCAUGUCAGGCUCAUGAGCUAUCUAUCCUCAGGUUUAUGGAAGAAAUAACUGGACCGGUGAGAUGAGGCAGCCACAUCAAAGACAUGAGGGCUAGUGUGUCCCCAUGCACACAUGGACCGUGAAAGUCCUGCUAUGUUCCUACCAUGUACCCCUGCACUCAGGUUUCUGUGGGACUCUAUGAAAUCCUGGAUUGGGCAGGUCUCCAGGGGCGUUCUAGGCCUGCUACUGUCAAAACUAGAACUCCUUACCAAGCAACCAGCUUCUCUCAUGGUCUCCACCAACACUACUCUCACUGCAGCAGUCUGGUGGAGCCACCAUAGACAGGCAAGGCUAAAGAGUUAGAAACAAACAGGUGGUGCAUAUGUUCUCUUGUUCUCCGAGUUCAACACCAUUGUAUCACGGCA
Molecule: non-coding RNA, 2590 nt
Organism: Cricetulus griseus (Chinese hamster)
Lineage: Eukaryota; Metazoa; Chordata; Mammalia; Rodentia; Cricetidae
Source: RefSeq, a predicted model, not a curated record